RNAcentral lists this non-coding RNA (70 nucleotides) under unclassified sequences. Its description in RNAcentral is "int-alpA RNA". It matches the Rfam family "int-alpA RNA". Rfam says of the family: Acidobacteria (1 example), Planctomycetes (1 example), Proteobacteria. Environment (Lake Washington) The record is from RNAcentral.
UUGCGGGCUAGGGAGGCCACCCGAAAACAGAGCUUGCCCCGGCUCUGCUGCCCGCAGAUUCAACCAGGGG